UGGGGAAUCUUAGACAAUGGGGGCAACCCUGAUCUAGCCAUGCCGCGUGAGUGAUGAAGGCCUUAGGGUUGUAAAGCUCUUUCAGCUGGGAAGAUAAUGACGGUACCAGCAGAAGAAGCCCCGGCUAACUCCGUGCCAGCAGCCGCGGUAAUACGGAGGGGGCUAGCGUUGUUCGGAAUUACUGGGCGUAAAGCGCACGUAGGCGGACCAGAAAGUUGGGGGUGAAAUCCCGGGGCUCAACCCCGGAACUGCCUUCAAAACUAUUGGUCUGGAGUUCGAGAGAGGUGAGUGGAAUUCCGAGUGUAGAGGUGAAAUUCGUAGAUAUUCGGAGGAACACCAGUGGCGAAGGCGGCUCACUGGCUCGAUACUGACGCUGAGGUGCGAAAGCGUGGGGAGCAAACAGG
RNAcentral lists this ribosomal RNA (404 nucleotides) under Caulobacter vibrioides. RNAcentral describes it as "partial 16S ribosomal RNA". It matches the Rfam family "Bacterial small subunit ribosomal RNA", at positions 355 to 776 of the family's 1533-position model. The record is from RNAcentral. Lineage: Bacteria; Pseudomonadati; Pseudomonadota; Alphaproteobacteria; Caulobacterales; Caulobacteraceae. RNAcentral also lists the same sequence under 2 other names.